AUGAGAGUUGGAAAUACCCGAAGCCUGUGAGCUAACGAAAGGGGCAGCAGUCGAAGGUAGAAUCAAUGAUUGGGGUGAAGUCGUAACAAGGUACC
Molecule: ribosomal RNA, 95 nt
Filed under: uncultured bacterium
Lineage: Bacteria
Description: partial 16S ribosomal RNA
Source: RNAcentral